RNAcentral lists this unclassified non-coding RNA (526 nucleotides) under Hevea brasiliensis (rubber tree). Lineage: Eukaryota; Viridiplantae; Streptophyta; Magnoliopsida; Malpighiales; Euphorbiaceae. The record is from RNAcentral.
UUCUGAGUUUUCUGAAAUUUUUUCAGAAUUUUUGGGCCUCGUUUUUUGUCCCAGGGCAGAGUAAAAAAUUUAAUUUUGGGUAUUUUGAAUCGAACCGGCAGAAUCGAACUGGACCGGUCUGACCGAUCGAAUCGGACUGGCCUUUUCUUUUUUCCCUCUUCUUUUCCCGCGUUGUGCCUGACCCUCUUUCUUCUCCCUCUCGUUUCUCUCUCCUCUGUCCUUCCUUGGCUGGCCAACCACCUCCCCCUUCACCCCAGCUCAUCGGCGCACCUCCAGCUUGCCGCUCUAGUGGCCGAAAAAUCAAGCUUGAAUCCUUCCCUUCGUGUAACGAGCUGUUUCAUCUUCCCGGUCAAAAUCUAAUCGAUUCAGUUACCAAUCAGAUCGGGUCUUGUCUCAAUUACUUUCUACUCGUUGAGAGCUUUCCGUUGAUACAAAAAACACAAAUUUUUAUCGAGUAUUUUGUCCAAUUUUUGUCUGGAAAGUUUUAGCCAAUUUUGAGUUUUUGACUAAAUUUCUCCCAAACCAG